Long non-coding RNA from Triticum aestivum (bread wheat), 441 nucleotides. RefSeq lists it as uncharacterized. The transcript has 3 exons. The record is from RefSeq and is a predicted model, not a curated record. NCBI's taxonomy places the organism in Eukaryota, Viridiplantae, Streptophyta, Magnoliopsida, Poales, Poaceae.
GCGACAGCUCCAUCUCCACCUUGCUCUGCACCUUCGUUGUCGCGCUUGGCCCCAUACAGUUCAGCUUCACGUCCAGUUACUCCUUGCCCACUCAUCGCCUUUGCCAUUGGGCAAAUCGCCGAGUUCAUCGGUCCUAAAGGGUCUCUCAUGAUCGCCGCAGUUCCCAAACAUCAUUGGGUGGCUUGCAAUAUCAUUUGCAAAUGACUCCGUAGUUUUGUUCAUGGGCCGAUUGUUGGAAGGGUUUGGGAUUGGUGUGAUUCCUACACAGUCUGUAUCCCUAUUCUCCUAACCUUGUACAAAUUCACUCCAGAGUUCAAACAUGAAUGAUAAUGCGUUUGCUUUCUUACUGUUGUGUUGUUGCUAUGGCCUAUGAUAUGAUUGUUUCCCCUAGCGUAAUCAUAAUCCUACAAUAUUUCUAUCUGUCCGGUCUUUGUAUAGGAA